Long non-coding RNA from Xenopus tropicalis (tropical clawed frog), 1627 nucleotides. RefSeq lists it as uncharacterized. The record is from RefSeq and is a predicted model, not a curated record. NCBI's taxonomy places the organism in Eukaryota, Metazoa, Chordata, Amphibia, Anura, Pipidae. The transcript has 3 exons.
GUACAUUCUUGAGGCAGCUGAGCUCAGCCCGGGGCCCAUUGGGCACACAGGGGGGUCAGUCAGUACCACUAUGGGCAGGUCGGACCGGUACCAGUACAUUCCUGGGGCAGCUGAGCUCAGCCCGGGGCCCAUUGGGCUCAGAAGCAGCUGAUUAGUGAUGCAGCGAGUGUAGCGCCAGAUGCUCUGCAGAAUCCGCCCCUCCCGUCGCCGCUGAAUAACUGCAUUGCCUCCUGAUGUGCUGAACUAUAAAUGUGCUGCACUCCGGCAGGGAAAGGGUGCGCCCCCAGCCUGUGCCAAUGGCAGAAGCAGCUGUGUUUGGCCCAUGUGAUUGUCAUUGGCUGCCCGCUUCCUCAGCGCCAGUCUCAGUGCCUGAUGGGCUUCCCUGUCUGCAGGAAUAACGAGCCGGGCACCCCCAGCCUGCUGCUAGUUACUGAUCCCCAUAUCCGGAGCCAUUGCUGAACCCCAGAUAAUAUGUUUGGCACCAGUUGUACCCGCUGCAGGCACCCUAAUAUCUCUGUGUACUGAUAGCCUUGCUCUGUCUGCCUCUGUGCCCUGUGCCCAUCAAAGGACUGGCACCUCCCAACUGACUCUGUACCCACUGCAAUCUCCCAGCUACUAAAGGACUGGCAUUGCCCAACAAGUAUUAUACCAGCUGAAGGACUGGCAUUUCUCCACUAGCUCUCUACCCACUGAAGGACUGGCAUUUCUCUACUAGCUCUCUACCCACUGAAGGACUGGCAUUUCUCUACUAGCUCUCUACCCACUGAACGACUGGCAUUUCUGUACUUGCUCUCUACCCACUGAAGGACUGGCAUUUCUCUAUUAGCUCUCUACCCACUGAAGGACUGGCAUUUCUCCACUAGAUCUUCACCACCUGAAGGACUGGCAUCUCUAAGCUAGCCCUGUACCCACUGGAAUCUCCCAGCUUCUACUUGAAGUACAUUAAAGGACUGGCAUUGCCCAACUAGCUCUCUACCCACUGAAGGACUGGCAUUUCUCUACUAGCUCUCUACCCACUGAAGGACUGGCAUUACCCAACUAGCUCUCUACCCUCUGAAGGACUGGCAUCUUUCCACUAGAUCUUUACUAGCUAAAGGACUGGCAUCACUCAGUGAAGGACUGGCAUUGCUCAAAUGGCUCUGUACCUACCGUGCCGUAUCUCCUACCCAGAUGUGUAACAGUUGAGGUUUUGGUAUCUCACUGCCAGUUGUGGCUGGCAUCUCCUAUUAAUCUUGGCAUACAUGGCAUCCUUCGCCCAUCGAUUGUCUUUAGCAGUUUUUAAGCAGCUUUGCAGCCACAAACAGGCUGGGCAACCCCUUUGUAUCUCAGUGAUCUGUGCCCGCUGUGCCAGCUUUGCACCAUAGGCUGAGAUCCCUGCCAGCUGUGUAGUAAGUGCUGCCAUGUGUGCCAGUGUGUGACCCAUGAAGAAAAGCUGCUGAAAGGGCACAGGAGUAGUAGAGGCAGGGAUACCCCUUGGGGCUGCAAGGAGCUGUGUGCCCAUAGCUGGUUGGACCAGACAGUCGCCUCCCACAGACGCCUUCGGCGCCAGGAUGGGCGGAGCCAACUCGUUUCUUACAGAUUAGACUUGUGCAGAGCCAACUCAUCCCCCCUUGAAAGUGUUCCCCGA